RNAcentral lists this ribosomal RNA (338 nucleotides) under uncultured bacterium. RNAcentral describes it as "bacterial SSU rRNA". It matches the Rfam family "Bacterial small subunit ribosomal RNA", at positions 71 to 422 of the family's 1533-position model. The record is from RNAcentral.
AAGUGGUAGCAAUACCAUGAGUAAAGUGGCGCACGGGUGAGUAACACGUGACUAACCUACCCUGGAGUGGGGAAUAACUGAGGGAAACCUUAGCUAAUGCCGCAUAACACCUACGGGUCAAAGGAGCAAUUCGCUUCAGGAGGGGGUCGCGGCCGAUUAGUUAGUUGGCGGGGUAACGGCCCACCAAGACGAUGAUCGGUAUCCGGCCUGAGAGGGCGCACGGACACACUGGAACUGAAACACGGUCCAGACUCCUACGGGAGGCAGCAGUGGGGAAUUUUGCGCAAUGGGGGAAACCCUGACGCAGCAACGCCGCGUGGAGGAUGAAGCCCCUUGGG